Molecule: ribosomal RNA, 253 nt
Filed under: uncultured bacterium
Lineage: Bacteria
Description: partial 16S ribosomal RNA
Rfam family: Bacterial small subunit ribosomal RNA
Source: RNAcentral
UACGGGGGGAGCAAGCGUUGUUCGGAUUUACUGGGCGUAAAGGGCGCGUAGGCGGUACGACAAGUCGGGAGUGAAAGCCCGGGGCUCAACCUCGGAACUGCUUUCGAAACUGUCGAACUUGAGUGCGGAAGAGGCAACUGGAAUUCCCAGUGUAGCGGUGAAAUGCGUAGAUAUUGGGAAGAACACCUGAGGCGAAGGCGGGUUGCUGGGCUGACACUGACGCUGAGGCGCGAAAGCCAGGGGAGCGAACGGG